GACGAACGCUGGCGGCGUGCCUAAUACAUGCAAGUCGAGCGAAGUCUUUCUGGUGCUUGCACUAGAAAAACUUAGCGGCGAACGGGUGAGUAACACGUAAAGAACCUGCCUCAUAGACUGGGACAACUAUUGGAAACGAUAGCUAAUACCGGAUAACAGUAUUUCUCGCAUGAGAGAUAUUUAAAAGUUGGUUAUGCUAACACUAUGAGAUGGCUUUGCGGUGCAUUAGCUAGUUGGUGGGGUAAAGGCCCACCAAGGCGACGAUGCAUAGCCGACCUGAGAGGGUGAUCGGCCACACUGGGACUGAGACACGGCCCAGACUCCUACGGGAGGCAGCAGUAGGGAAUCUUCCGCAAUGGGCGAAAGCCUGACGGAGCAACGCCGCGUGAGUGAAGAAGGAUUUCGGUUCGUAAAGCUCUGUUGUUAGGGAAGAAUGGAUAUGUAGUAACUAUACAUGUAAGAGACGGUACCUAACCAGAAAGCCACGGCUAACUACGUG
Molecule: ribosomal RNA, 499 nt
Filed under: uncultured bacterium
Lineage: Bacteria
Description: partial 16S ribosomal RNA
Rfam family: Bacterial small subunit ribosomal RNA
Source: RNAcentral